AAAGAAGCAAAUAUAUGAGCCGAGGCAGAGAAUUGGGGCCAUGUUUGCAAUGACUCUAUAACAAAUAAUUAUGACGUACAUGGAAAGCUACUCUUUUUCCCACUAAUGAGGCAGAAUCAAAGACUUAAGGAAACUGCAGGCCACAGUGACCAACAGGAUACGUGCAGCCGACUAAGGCUUCCUGCUCCCCAAACCAGGUAAAUAUUUGACUCUGUCAUACAUAUUUUUCCUGAUGCAUAAGACUCAAGAAAAUUUACCCAACUUCAAACUGGUACCCAGAGGAGAGAGGAUGAGACAUAUCUUUUUCAAGAUAUGGAAACUGAGGCUCAGCUAGAAAGAGAUAGAACUGGGGUUUGAGCCUUGACCAUUUGAUGUCAGAUUCUGAGCACAACCUCCGAAGCACACAGACCCUCAGCACAUUGCGUUUCUGAGGUAACUGUGGAUUCAGGUCCUCACACAGGAUGCAACCCACCUGCCAGUCUUCAAGGAGAAGCCGAGUGCCAAAUUAUAAACUGACACAACAGAGCAAUAAGGAGUGAAUGAUUAUGUUUCAAAAGGAUUCUCCAGUUUAUGAAGUCAUUUCCCCAGCAGCGAGCUCUCCCUGGGUACUGAGUCAGGUUGGAAUUUGAAGUGCAGUUGCUUCGUAGGAUUUGAUUCAUAACCUCCCCUAUCGCUCAUUUAAAGCAACAGGGAGGAUUUGUAUUUAUGGAUCGCUUUCGAGAAGUCUAGAAUCCUUCGCCCCCUCCUGCCGCGUUCUCCGACUGUCCGUGCGGGAGUUCAAUCCCUAUCUCACAGACGGGAGAAGGGGCACAGAGAGAUGGAAGGACCAGACCCCUGGCAUUGCAGGAGGGCGAAGCUGCGCCUGACACACACGGCCCUGCACUCGAGGCCUCUCUGCGGUGCCUUCACUCACCUGGGCCUGGAGGAGGGAGACACCUCAUUUAAAAAAGUUCCCGGCGAGUCCACACAGCCCGUGUAGGGCAGCUGCCUGGUCCUAUUAAACUCCCCAGACAGUGAUUUCUCUAGUAGCCAAAGGGCAUUUGUUUCUUACCCAUUUUCACACAGCC
Long non-coding RNA from Pteronotus mesoamericanus, 1067 nucleotides. RefSeq lists it as uncharacterized. The transcript has 4 exons. The record is from RefSeq and is a predicted model, not a curated record. NCBI's taxonomy places the organism in Eukaryota, Metazoa, Chordata, Mammalia, Chiroptera, Mormoopidae.